Long non-coding RNA from Drosophila elegans, 549 nucleotides. RefSeq lists it as uncharacterized. The transcript is spliced from 2 exons. NCBI's taxonomy places the organism in Eukaryota, Metazoa, Arthropoda, Insecta, Diptera, Drosophilidae. The record is from RefSeq and is a predicted model, not a curated record.
ACAAAAUCGAUCAGUCUUAGAUAAAAAUGUUCCAUUAAAGAACACAACAAUGUAAUGUCUUAAAGGAUAAAUCAAUAAUAAAUAUACUCUAUGUUGUCGGGUAAAAACACAAAAACAACAAGAAAAAACAACGACAGCCUGUCGGAGUCCGUCUGUCAAAUCUGGCUAGCUGGCAAUGACAGGAGGUGGAGCAACCAGUAAACGACAAGUUAUACAGCAAAAUAAAUUGUUUUUGUUACACAAUUUUUUGGUGUUAUGGGAGCCACUUGACUUGUAAACGGGCGAUGGCCCUAACAAUGGCAAGAGCAACAACCAAAAUAACCACAAAGGAGAAGGGAAGGCUCACAGAAUAGCAAAGGAGUGGAGGAGGCAGGCACUCGAGAAAGGAAAGAACAUCAAAGAGCUCCCAUUGUUGACCCAGUUAUGGACCACAACACAGUCAGCACUCACAAAUAAAUGCCAAGGAGCUGCACCUGAAAUAAAAAAAAUUGUUAAAGGUUUAAUUUACAAAAAUAUUUCUGAUUAAAAAAACAAUGAACGAUUUUAAGA